This 392-nucleotide ribosomal RNA is filed under the name uncultured bacterium. Its description in RNAcentral is "partial 16S ribosomal RNA". It matches the Rfam family "Bacterial small subunit ribosomal RNA", at positions 523 to 918 of the family's 1533-position model. The record is from RNAcentral.
AUACGGAGGAUCCGAGCGUUAUCCGGAUUUAUUGGGUUUAAAGGGUGCGCAGGCGGCCAUUUAAGUCAGCGGUUAAAUCGUGGGGCUCAACCCCAUUCUGCCGUUGAUACUGGGUGGCUUGAUUGCGGUCGAGGUUGGCGGAAUUCGUUGUGUAGCGGUGAAAUGCAUAGAUAUGACGAAGAACACCGAUUGCGUAGGCAGCUGACCAGACCGCAAAUGACGCUCAUGCACGAAAGUGCGGGGAUCGAACAGGAUUAGAUACCCUGGUAGUCCGCACAGUAAACGAUGAAUACUUGUUUUCGGCGAUAUAAUGUCGGAGGCAAAACGAAAGCGAUAAGUAUUCCACCUGGGGAGUACGCCGGCAACGGUGAAACUCAAAGGAAUUGACGGGG